This is a non-coding RNA of Ictidomys tridecemlineatus (thirteen-lined ground squirrel), 436 nucleotides long. NCBI's taxonomy places the organism in Eukaryota, Metazoa, Chordata, Mammalia, Rodentia, Sciuridae. The record is from RefSeq and is a predicted model, not a curated record.
UCCUGUCUCAGCAGGAGGGGCAGGCGGGCAGCCCAGGAAAGCAGAGGUCCGGCGACACCCCGCGGCUGGUCAGCCAGACAGCAGCCCCUGGCCCUCCCCAGGUCCUGGCCCCCAGCCCUCCUCGAGCAGCGACACUGCCCGCGCACUCACCCAGAAGAGCAGGUUGAAGGCGAACAUGAGGGACGCCCUGGAUGCCCUGGGCCUGAAGCGCUACUGUUGCCGCCGAAUGCUGCUGGCACACGUGGACCUGAUUGAGAAGUUGCUCAACUACGCACCACUGGAGAAGUAGCCAUGGAGCUGCAUUCCUGCUCUACUGAUAUGGACAGUGUCACGCCAAGUUCAUCAAGCUGAGGUGUCUGUGGGUGGCAACAAUGCAUGGCCUCAGCCACAUGCCCCCCAUGCUGGAAGGAAAGUUCAGUAAAGGUCUUAAGAAUUA